Molecule: RNA transcript, 4131 nt
Organism: Symphalangus syndactylus (siamang)
Lineage: Eukaryota; Metazoa; Chordata; Mammalia; Primates; Hylobatidae
Gene: NOP16
Gene name: NOP16 nucleolar protein
Source: RefSeq, a predicted model, not a curated record
GGCGUGUGUGAGCUGCUGGUGCGGUGGUCAGCGCGAUGCCCAAGGCCAAGGGCAAAACCCGGAGACAGAAGUUUGGUUACAGUGUCAACCGCAAGCGUCUGAACCGGAAUGCUCGACGGAAGGCAGCGCCGCGGAUCGAAUGCUCCCACAUCCGACAUGCCUGGGACCACGCUAAAUCGGUGCGGCAGAACCUCGCCGAGAUGGGGUUGGCUGUGGACCCCAACAGGGCGGUGCCCCUCCGUAAGAGAAAGGUGAAGGCCAUGGAGGUGGACAUAGAGGAGAGGCCUAAAGAGCUUGUACGGAAGCCCUAUGUGCUGAAUGACCUGGAGGCAGAAGCCAGCCUUCCAGAAAAGAAAGGAAAUACUCUGUCUCGGGACCUCAUUGACUAUGUACGCUACAUGGUGGAGAACCACGGGGAGGACUAUAAGGCCAUGGCCCGUGAUGAGAAGAAUUACUAUCAAGAUACCCCAAAACAGAUUCGGAGUAAGAUCAAUGUUUAUAAACGCUUUUACCCAGCGGAGUGGCAAGACUUCCUCGAUUCUUUGCGGAAGAGUAAGAUGGAGGUUGAGUGACUGGUUUACAUCACAGCUGCCCCAGGCUGAGGUCUCCCCCGGACCAGUGAAGCUGGAGCCAGGGUGUAAGGCAAGGAGGUGCUGUGUGGCUCCAGAGGGGCUGGCCAGGUCCCAUGGAAUCAGAAGGCUACACACACACGCAUGCACACUCCCCGCUCUGGGGAAGGAACUGUUCUCAGAGGCUCCAAUUUAUAUUCGUCCGGGGGUUCACGGAAAAGCCAGAACCUAAUGUUUUCAGGGUUUUUUGAGACAAGGCCUUGCUCUUGUAUCCCAGGCUGGAGUGCAAUGACAUGAUCAUGGCCCACUGCAGAAGCAGCCUCAACCUCCCAGGCUGAAGUGAUCCUCCCUCCUCAGCCCAUCCCAGGAAGCCAUCUCUGGUGGCCUCUCUUCAGAGGGAUGGUAAUAGGUCAGAGAAUGGAAAAUCAGAAGCCACCGCUUCAUCUGAGUUACUUAAGAACAAAAGCCCCCAGUGCCAGGUGAGUGACCAGACACAGGUUCAACAGGUAAGUGUAGUGAAGACUUCCCUUCUAUGUGAGUGGACGCUCUGCAUGCUCGCUGCCACCCACUCCCUCAGGUCCACAGCCUUCCCUCCAGCCAUCUCUGUUGGAACAUGAGAGCCGCCCAAACAUUUAACUCUGUUCCCAAGCUCAGCUAGGUUGGCAGCUGUUGGGUUUAGGCAGUGCGGGGAACACAGUAUCACCCAGGCUAGAUCAUUCUGAGAUGAGCAGCUCCAGGUAACUGGACUGGUUCCCAAGAGCAGGUGAUUGUGGCUCCUGAGUCACAAAAGUCAUAUUCAGGAGCAGCUGGGUAAGGGCACCACAGAGCCAGUUAGGUGAGGUUCUUAAGGCCUGUUCACCCACUUUGCCCAGUUUACGUGUGGUGGAAACCAAAGCAGAUGAGCACUGUGGCACUGUGCCUGGAGGACGGGCCAGCAGCCCCACCAGAGGAGCGCAGCUGCUGACCACCAACCCACAGGCUCUAGGACACCUACAUUCUCUACCAGUAUCAGAGUGGUGACACUGGACCUUCAGUGCCCUCAGUGUGCUGCUGGGACCUGAGGUUUUGAGAGUGGUCUUGAUAAAAGCAGCUCAAGUAGACAUAAUGAAACUUUAUUCUUCAAGUUUACCUCCCACAACUGGGAAUUGUGGGAUUUUUAAUUUUUAAAGAAUUGUACAAGAUAUUCAUUAGACACAGACAGAUCUUCAUUAGGUAAAAAGGGACCCCCUCAACAAUUAAUGCUGGUUCCAAAGGUGACCUUUGUUAAAUUAAGUUUGGCCUAAAGCUGCCUCUGUACAUAGUGAAUUAUAACCUAACAAUGUGUAAACACCCUGCAAUGUAAUCUAAGAGUCUACUCUCGUAACAAGUAGCCAAAUCUCAGCCAACCAGGCUGAAGGCUGCCAAAACAUGUCCAAAGAAGGCAAAUGCCAGACUGCGGCCAAUCAGGCUAUCUCUGUAUGUCAAUUCCAUUUCUUUGCUUAUAAAUAUAGCCUACACACAUUCUGAACCAUAGCUUUUGGUCCUGAGCGCUACCUGAUUCAUGAACCCUUUUCUGCUCAAUUAAACUGUUAAAGUUAACUUGUCUAUAAAAUUUUUCUUUUAACAAAUUGGUGUCAGAAGUAGGAUCCAAAGUAGAACUUCAGCGACCUCCAGGAGCACUGAGUGACCACGCAAAAAGGUAUCUGCCAGGGCCCAUUGUGCCCACUGAUCCCUCACAGCAACUGGAGGUCAUAGUGAGUUCUUCCUAGGAUUCUGAGCUCCAUAAAUUUGUGUUUUGAGCUCUCCAAGUUUAUCUGAGCAAUUUUUACUGGACUGGGUCCUGGAUUGGACUGAAUCCCAUAAUAAACUGGAUGGAUCCAGUUACAGGCAUUGGGUAGGUUAUCCUUUUGAUAAUGGGCUUGUUUCAAUCCAAGGAGUCUGGGACUCCACCUUCUGGGACUCCAUCUAAUUUUAUAUAUAAGAAUUAUGGGGCUGGGUGUGGUGGCUGAUGCCCGUAAUCCCAGCACUUUGGGAGGCUGAGGCAGGAAGAUCUCUUGAGCUCACAAGUUUGAGACCAGCCUGGGCAACAUGGCAAAACCCCAUCUCUACAAAAAAUACGUAAGUGUGGUGGUGUAUGCCUGUAGUCCCAGCUACUCAGGAGGCUGAGGUGGCAAAAUCUCUUGUGCCCGGGAGGCAGAGGUUGCAGUAAGCCGAGAUCACGCCACUGCACUCCAGCCUGGGUGACAAAGCAACACUCUAUCUCAAAAAACAAAACAAGUCCGGGCAUGGUCACACCUGUAAUCCCAACACUUUGGGAGGCUGAGGUGGGUGGAUCACCUCACCUGCUUGGCCAAUGUGGUGAAACCCUCCCUACUAAAAACACAAAAAUUAGCUGGGCGUGGUGGUGCACACCUGUGAUCGCAGCUACUCAGGAGGCUGAGGCAUGAGAAUUGCUUGAACCUGGGAGGCGGAGGUUGCAGUGAGCCGAGAUCACGCCGCUGCACUCCAGCCUGGGCGGUGACAGAGUAAGACUCUGUCUCAAAAAAAAAAAAAAAAAAAAUGGACCCAGAACUUGUUUUUAGAAAAACAGGCUAACCUUACUAGGAACAACUUAGAAUUAAAAUGGCCACAAUGAGGAAACUUUAAAUAAAAUUGUUUAUUUGUGGGACACAUUAGAAAAGAAAGGAUCAAAAACUCCACAAAAACAAUGGGAUGCAUUUUAAAUCAGUAUGCAGAGGCGUGGGGAAAAGAAAGACAGAUCAGAUUGUUACUGUGUCUGUGUAGAAAGAAGUAGACAUAGGAGACUCCAUUUUGUUCUGUACUAAGAAAUUCUUCUGCCUUGAGAUGCUGUUAAUCUAUAACCUUACCCCCAACCCCGUGCUCUCUGAAACAUGUGCUGUGUCGACUCAGGGUUAAAUGGAUUAAGGGCUGUGCAGGAUGUGCUUUGUUAAACAGAUGCUUGAAGAGUCAUCACCACUCCCUAAUCUCAAGUAUCCAGGGACACAAAAACUGUGGAAGGCUGCAGGGACCUCCGCCUAGGAAAGCCAGGUAUUGUCCAAGGUUUCUCCCCAUGUGAUAGUCUGAAAUAUGGCCUCGUGGGAAGGGAAAGACCUGACCGUCCGCCAGCCCGACACCUGUAAAGGGUCUUUGCUGAGGAGGAUUAGUAUAAGAGGAAGGAAGGCCUCUUUGCAGUUGAGACAAGAGGAAGGCAUCUGCCUCCUGCCCGUCCCUGAGUGAUGGAAUGUCUCGAUUGUAUGUUCCAUCUACUGAGAUAGGGGAAAACUGCCUUAGGGCUGGAGGUGGGACAUGCGGGCAGCAAUACUGCUCUGUAAGGCAUUGAGAUGUUUAUGUGUAUGCAUAUCUGAAGCACAGCACUUAAUUCUUUACCUUGUCUAUGAUGCAGAGACCUUUGUUCACGUUUAUCUGCUGACCUUCUCUCCACUAUUAUCCUAUGACCCUGACACAUCCCCCUCUCUGAGAAACACCCAAGAAUGAUCAAUAAAUACUAAAGGGAACUCAGAGGCCGGCGGGAUCCUCCAUAUGCUGAACGCUGGUCCCCUGGGCCCCCUUAUUUCUUUCUCUA